CAAACAACCCUUCGGGCCAAAAAGGCCUGGCGUUGGGGUGCUGCGUCCCGCAGCCCCUGGAGACCACCGGCAGAACCUGCCGCGCACGGGCGCAGCAACCUAUGCCCCGCGCGGUGGAGCCUUGCCUCUAUCGACUGUAC
This 140-nucleotide unclassified non-coding RNA is filed under the name uncultured Ascomycota. RNAcentral's name for it is "sequence contains ITS2". Lineage: Eukaryota; Fungi; Ascomycota. The record is from RNAcentral.